This 64-nucleotide transfer RNA is filed under the name Scolytinae sp. BMNH 1274299. RNAcentral's name for it is "tRNA-Arg". The record is from RNAcentral. Lineage: Eukaryota; Metazoa; Arthropoda; Insecta; Coleoptera; Curculionidae.
AAAUGAGAAACAAAAAAUUGUAUUUAGUUUCGACCUAAAAUAAUGGUGGCUUCACCCUCACUUA